Molecule: ribosomal RNA, 2923 nt
Filed under: Klebsiella pneumoniae
Lineage: Bacteria; Pseudomonadati; Pseudomonadota; Gammaproteobacteria; Enterobacterales; Enterobacteriaceae
Description: 23S ribosomal RNA
Rfam family: Bacterial large subunit ribosomal RNA
Source: RNAcentral
GGGUUGUGAGGUUAAGCGACUAAGCGUACACGGUGGAUGCCCUGGCAGUCAGAGGCGAUGAAGGACGUGCUAAUCUGCGAAAAGCGUCGGUAAGGUGAUAUGAACCGUUAUAACCGGCGAUGUCCGAAUGGGGAAACCCAGUGCAAUUCGUUGCACUAUCGUUAACUGAAUACAUAGGUUAACGAGGCGAACCGGGGGAACUGAAACAUCUAAGUACCCCGAGGAAAAGAAAUCAACCGAGAUUCCCCCAGUAGCGGCGAGCGAACGGGGAGCAGCCCAGAGUCUGAAUCAGCUUGUGUGUUAGUGGAACGGUCUGGAAAGUCCGACGGUACAGGGUGAUAGUCCCGUACACCAAAAUGCACAGGCUGUGAACUCGAAGAGUAGGGCGGGACACGUGGUAUCCUGUCUGAAUAUGGGGGGACCAUCCUCCAAGGCUAAAUACUCCUGACUGACCGAUAGUGAACCAGUACCGUGAGGGAAAGGCGAAAAGAACCCCGGCGAGGGGAGUGAAAAAGAACCUGAAACCGUGUACGUACAAGCAGUGGGAGCACCUUCGGGUGUGACUGCGUACCUUUUGUAUAAUGGGUCAGCGACUUAUAUUCUGUAGCAAGGUUAACCGUAUAGGGGAGCCGCAGGGAAACCGAGUCUUAACUGGGCGUUAAGUUGCAGGGUAUAGACCCGAAACCCGGUGAUCUAGCCAUGGGCAGGUUGAAGGUUGGGUAACACUAACUGGAGGACCGAACCGACUAAUGUUGAAAAAUUAGCGGAUGACUUGUGGCUGGGGGUGAAAGGCCAAUCAAACCGGGAGAUAGCUGGUUCUCCCCGAAAGCUAUUUAGGUAGCGCCUCGUGAACUCAUCUUCGGGGGUAGAGCACUGUUUCGGCUAGGGGGUCAUCCCGACUUACCAACCCGAUGCAAACUACGAAUACCGAAGAAUGUUAUCACGGGAGACACACGGCGGGUGCUAACGUCCGUCGUGAAGAGGGAAACAACCCAGACCGCCAGCUAAGGUCCCAAAGUCAUGGUUAAGUGGGAAACGAUGUGGGAAGGCACAGACAGCCAGGAUGUUGGCUUAGAAGCAGCCAUCAUUUAAAGAAAGCGUAAUAGCUCACUGGUCGAGUCGGCCUGCGCGGAAGAUGUAACGGGGCUAAACCAUGCACCGAAGCUGCGGCAGCGACACUAUGUGUUGUUGGGUAGGGGAGCGUUCUGUAAGCCUGCGAAGGUGACCUGUGAGGGUUGCUGGAGGUAUCAGAAGUGCGAAUGCUGACAUAAGUAACGAUAAAGCGGGUGAAAAGCCCGCUCGCCGGAAGACCAAGGGUUCCUGUCCAACGUUAAUCGGGGCAGGGUGAGUCGACCCCUAAGGCGAGGCCGAAAGGCGUAGUCGAUGGGAAACAGGUUAAUAUUCCUGUACUUGGUGUUACUGCGAAGGGGGGACGGAGAAGGCUAUGUUAGCCGGGCGACGGUUGUCCCGGUUUAAGCAUGUAGGCUGGUUGUCCAGGCAAAUCCGGAUAAUCAAGGCUGAGGUGUGAUGACGAGGCACUACGGUGCUGAAGUAACAAAUGCCCUGCUUCCAGGAAAAGCCUCUAAGCAUCAGGUAACAUCAAAUCGUACCCCAAACCGACACAGGUGGUCAGGUAGAGAAUACCAAGGCGCUUGAGAGAACUCGGGUGAAGGAACUAGGCAAAAUGGUGCCGUAACUUCGGGAGAAGGCACGCUGGUGUGUAGGUGAAGCCCCUGCGGGUGGAGCUGAGACCAGUCGAAGAUACCAGCUGGCUGCAACUGUUUAUUAAAAACACAGCACUGUGCAAACACGAAAGUGGACGUAUACGGUGUGACGCCUGCCCGGUGCCGGAAGGUUAAUUGAUGGGGUUAUCCGUAAGGAGAAGCUCUUGAUCGAAGCCCCGGUAAACGGCGGCCGUAACUAUAACGGUCCUAAGGUAGCGAAAUUCCUUGUCGGGUAAGUUCCGACCUGCACGAAUGGCGUAAUGAUGGCCAGGCUGUCUCCACCCGAGACUCAGUGAAAUUGAACUCGCUGUGAAGAUGCAGUGUACCCGCGGCAAGACGGAAAGACCCCGUGAACCUUUACUAUAGCUUGACACUGAACAUUGAGCCUUGAUGUGUAGGAUAGGUGGGAGGCUUUGAAGCGUGGACGCCAGUCUGCGUGGAGCCAACCUUGAAAUACCACCCUUUAAUGUUUGAUGUUCUAACGUUGGCCCCUUACCGGGGUUGCGGACAGUGUCUGGUGGGUAGUUUGACUGGGGCGGUCUCCUCCCAAAGCGUAACGGAGGAGCACGAAGGUUAGCUAAUCCUGGUCGGACAUCAGGAGGUUAGUGCAAUGGCAUAAGCUAGCUUGACUGCGAGCGUGACGGCGCGAGCAGGUGCGAAAGCAGGUCAUAGUGAUCCGGUGGUUCUGAAUGGAAGGGCCAUCGCUCAACGGAUAAAAGGUACUCCGGGGAUAACAGGCUGAUACCGCCCAAGAGUUCAUAUCGACGGCGGUGUUUGGCACCUCGAUGUCGGCUCAUCACAUCCUGGGGCUGAAGUAGGUCCCAAGGGUAUGGCUGUUCGCCAUUUAAAGUGGUACGCGAGCUGGGUUUAGAACGUCGUGAGACAGUUCGGUCCCUAUCUGCCGUGGGCGCUGGAGAAUUGAGGGGGGCUGCUCCUAGUACGAGAGGACCGGAGUGGACGCAUCACUGGUGUUCGGGUUGUCAUGCCAAUGGCACUGCCCGGUAGCUAAAUGCGGAAGAGAUAAGUGCUGAAAGCAUCUAAGCACGAAACUUGCCCCGAGAUGAGUUCUCCCUGAGACUUUAAGUCUCCUGAAGGAACGUUAAAGACGAUGACGUUGAUAGGCCGGGUGUGUAAGCGCAGCGAUGCGUUGAGCUAACCGGUACUAAUGAACCGUGAGGCUUAACCUUACAACGCCGAAG